This 253-nucleotide ribosomal RNA is filed under the name uncultured bacterium. Its description in RNAcentral is "partial 16S ribosomal RNA". It matches the Rfam family "Bacterial small subunit ribosomal RNA", at positions 524 to 776 of the family's 1533-position model. The record is from RNAcentral.
UACGUAGGUGGCAAGCGUUGUCCGGAAUUACUGGGUGUAAAGGGAGCGCAGGCGGGAAGCUAAGUCAGCUGUGAAAACUCCAGGCUCAACCUGGAGACUGCAGUUGAAACUGGUUUUCUUGAGUGAAGUAGAGGUAGGCGGAAUUCCGAGUGUAGCGGUGAAAUGCGUAGAUAUUCGGAGGAACACCAGUGGCGAAGGCGGCCUACUGGGCUUUAACUGACGCUGAGGCUCGAAAGUGUGGGGAGCAAACAGG